RNAcentral lists this ribosomal RNA (304 nucleotides) under uncultured bacterium. Its description in RNAcentral is "partial 16S ribosomal RNA". It matches the Rfam family "Bacterial small subunit ribosomal RNA", at positions 506 to 807 of the family's 1533-position model. The record is from RNAcentral.
CAGCAGCAGCCGCGGGAAUACAGAGGGUGCGAGCGUUAAUCGGAUUUACUGGGCGUAAAGCGUGCGUAGGCGGCUUCUUAAGUCGGAUGUGAAAUCCCUGAGCUUAACUUAGGAAUUGCAUUCGAUACUGGGAAGCUAGAGUAUGGGAGAGGAUGGUAGAAUUCCAGGUGUAGCGGUGAAAUGCGUAGAGAUCUGGAGGAAUACCGAUGGCGAAGGCAGCCAUCUGGCCUAAUACUGACGCUGAGGUACGAAAGCAUGGGGAGCAAACAGGAUUAGAUACCCGUGUAGUCCCUGUCUCUUAUAC